AGAGUUUCUGCCUCCAUUUUGAGAAGGUUCUGUCCCUGGAACCUAGACUGAUAGACUCCUCAUCAGCUUGGCUUGUCCUGCCUACUGUUCUAACUUCUGAUUGGCCAGAUGGAGUUCACUAACUGCCCUGAUUGGUCCAUCAUCCUGGAGCAGUGACAUUCCAGAAUAUUUUCUCCUCCUCCAGCCACACUUUGUCACCAACUGCUGCCAACUCGCCACCACUGCUGCCGACCUCGCAACCACUGCUUUGUCUCUGAAGUCAGAGUGCUCCUGGUGCCAUGAACGGAGACGACACCUUUGCAAAGAGACCCAGGGAUGGUGCUAAAACAUCAAAGAAGAGAAGCAAGGCCUUUGAUGAUAUUGCCACAUACUUCUCUAAGAAAGAGUGGAAAAAGAUGAAAUACUCGGAGAGAAUCAGCUAUGUGUAUAUGAAGAGAAACUAUAAGGCCAUGACUAAACUAGGUUUCAAAGUCACCCUCCCACCUUUCAUGUGUAAUAAACAGGCCACAGACUUCCAGGGGAAUGAUUUUGAUAAUGACCAUAACCGCAGGAUUCAGGUUGAACAUCCUCAGAUGACUUUCGGCAGGCUCCACAGAAUCAUCCCGAAGCCAGCAGAGGACGAAAAUGAUUCGAAGGCAGUGUCAGAAGCAUCUGGCCCACAAAAGGAUGGGAAACAACUGCACUCCCCAGGAAAAGCAAAUAUUUCUGAGAAGAUUAAUAAGAGAUCUGGACCCAAAAGGGGGAAACAUGCCUGGACCCACAGACUGCGUGAGAGAAAGCAGCUGGUGAUUUAUGAAGAGAUCAGCGACCCUGAGGAAGAUGACGAGUAACUCCGGAUCCUCACCACCCAGGAUGCUGUGGGUUCCCAAACCCCAGGUCAGCCCUGAUAUGUGGCCACACCUUCUUCUAGCCUAGGAAUGCAUAAACCAGCCUGGGGGAAUACAACACAUGCCCUUGAUGAGAAGCAGAACGUGCUGACCUUUCACGAACAUGGGCAUGGCUGCGGAUCCCUCGUCAUCAGGUGCAUAGCAAGUGAAAGCAAGUGUUCACAACAGUGAAAAGUUGAGCGUCAUUUUUCUUAGUGUGCCAAGAGUUCGAUGUUAGUGUUUCCAUUGUAUUUUCUUACAGUGUGCCAUUCUGUUAGAUACUAUCCUUAUAAUUGAUGAGCAAGACAUACUGAAUGCAUAUUUCGGUUUGUGUAUCCAUGCACCUACGUCAGAAAACAAGUAUUGUCAGGUAUUCUCUGCAUAGAACAGCGCUAUCCUCAUCUCUCCCCAGAUGUGACUACUGAGGGCAGUUCUGAGUGUUUAAUUUCAGACUUUUUCCUCUGCAUUUACACACACACACACACACACACGCACGCACACACACCAAGUACCAGUAUAAACAUCUCCCAUCUGCUUUUCCCAUUGCCAUGCGUCCUGGUCAAGCCCCCCUCACUCUGUUUCCUGUUCAGCAUGUACUCCCCUCAUCCGAUUCCCCUGUAUCAGUCACUGACAGUUAAUAAACCUUUGCAAACGUUC
Pan troglodytes (chimpanzee) is the source of this 1523-nucleotide RNA transcript. It is a transcript of the gene named protein SSX1, with no coding region annotated. The transcript is spliced from 9 exons. NCBI's taxonomy places the organism in Eukaryota, Metazoa, Chordata, Mammalia, Primates, Hominidae. The record is from RefSeq and is a predicted model, not a curated record.